AAAAAUGCUAUGAAAAGAAGAGUAAUAAAAGAAUCAUUCUAUAAGAGAGCUAAUAUAUGCUGAAAGUUAGCGUUUGUGAAUUUUAUGAAGAUGGACUUAGAGCAUAUUUUUUGAGCUAAAGUUGUUUAGUUAGGAAAAUACGGGAGCAACCGUUAUAUUGCAGGGUGAUGAUGGUCACCUACUGAGUUAUUUAUUGUGAGAUAAAUAAGAAUUAGAGUGGUAACGCGUGUAAUACGUCUCUAUG
Molecule: regulatory RNA element, 244 nt
Organism: Clostridium chromiireducens
Lineage: Bacteria; Bacillati; Bacillota; Clostridia; Eubacteriales; Clostridiaceae
Rfam family: T-box leader
About the family: Uncharged tRNA acts as the effector for transcription antitermination of genes in the T-box leader family.
Source: Rfam